Molecule: transfer RNA, 86 nt
Filed under: Klebsiella pneumoniae
Lineage: Bacteria; Pseudomonadati; Pseudomonadota; Gammaproteobacteria; Enterobacterales; Enterobacteriaceae
Description: tRNA-Ser
Source: RNAcentral
GUUCCCGACAGAGUGGCUGAAGGAGCACGCCUGGAAAGUGUGUAUACGGCAACGUAUCGGGGGUUCGAAUCCCCCCCUCACCGCCA